Molecule: small RNA, 125 nt
Filed under: Marmota monax (woodchuck)
Lineage: Eukaryota; Metazoa; Chordata; Mammalia; Rodentia; Sciuridae
Source: RNAcentral
GCCGGGCGUAGUGGUGUACACCUGUAAUUCCAGCCACUGGGGAGGCUGAGGCAGGAGAAUAUUGAGUUCAAAGCUAGACUCAGCAACUGCAAGGUGCUAAGCAACUCAGUGAGACUCUAUCUCUG